Long non-coding RNA from Nymphaea colorata (pocket water lily), 1990 nucleotides. RefSeq lists it as uncharacterized. The transcript has 3 exons. The record is from RefSeq and is a predicted model, not a curated record. NCBI's taxonomy places the organism in Eukaryota, Viridiplantae, Streptophyta, Magnoliopsida, Nymphaeales, Nymphaeaceae.
ACGUCUGGAGAGACGGAAAUUUUUUGCUGGAAUUUUAUUUUUGCCCGUUAGGGCACGCACGGGAGCGCGUCUUCGUCUUCCUCCUGCACCGUCGUCUUCACGCCGAGCUUCUUCUUGGACAGCCUUCUCACACAGCGUCUAGCAGAGAAAGAAAAAGGAAGAACGAAGGGGGAAGAACGAAGGGGAAAGAGGAAGAAGGGAAGAAAAGGGAAAGAGGAAGAACAAAGGGGAAAGAGCAUCGUCCGUCGCCCAGCACCUCACGCCCAGCACCGUCGUAGUCUUCCUCUCCUCACGCCCAGCAUCGUCUUUCGCCCUCUCACUCGCCUCUCCCUCCUGCCGCAAGCCCGCAGCCCGCAGCUGCCUCUUUCGCCCUCUCACUCUCCUGCUCCCUCAUCCUCUCUCUCGUCCUCUGUUCUUGACAUCUGGUUGAUGGGCAUCUGUUUUUCCCUUUGAUCGUGACUCUCCGUGAGUUAUUUUGAGUGUCUCGGAAGCUUUUGAUUUUGUUUGGUGCUCUUGAUUUUGUUUGGUGCGCUUUGCUCUGGAUUUCCUGAGAGUCGAUUCCGUGGGUUUCUUCCGUCUGUUCAAUCGGUUUCUUGUUCUAACUUGGUAAAAAGCGGUGUUCCUUAAUUUGCCUCUGCACUGUUGGUCUGUCUUCUGGAGUUCUGAGUGAUGGUUGCUGGCUGAAGCCACCAUUUCUACUGCUGCCACCGUUUCUACUGCUGCUGUUGGUGAAUCGGAUGCGUGGAGUUUACUUGUGUUUAUCGUUCGGAUGUUAAGUUUCUUGUAAAGAAUUUAGUAAUCCAUAUGAGCAGUUCAAGAAUAAGUUCUUCGAUAUCAGUUUGUUGAAGUGGCUUUCUCUUUAUUAGUUUCCUGAUUGGUUAGUUUCGUCGUAUUCAUCAAGCUCUUGUGCAAUAAUAAAUUUCAGGGGUGGAUAAAAUUGUCAACCCCCAACAGCCUUCCUAUGAAAUUUGGUGCUUGCAAAUUUUGUGCAAUAUCAAAGGAACAACAGUUGAACAGGUCACAGUCUCAGAAGUCCAAAACGUCGAGUUCAGUGGCAGCAGCAAAAAUACGUGCAACAAGGGUACUUUUGCUUCUUGAAUACGGAUUAUGAGAUGCCUGUUAUUUGCGAUUCAACCAGAAUGGAAUGAAAAUUUGACGCUUUCAGUUUCUGAUCCCAUUUUGCUGGUCAAGAUUAUAGAAGCAGGUCGUCGGAGGAAAAGGGACAACGAACGAUGAAAGAACAACAAUUCAGAGUUGCUUCCUUUCACCCCCAAAAUCACAAAAAGAGACAUCGGAUAUCAAAAUCAGGUCUUCAAAGUAGAAACAAUGGCUAAGUGGACAAUGUCGCCGGAGGAGGAAAAUAACAAGCCGCUGGGAAUAGUAGCAGGGUAUUUUGCUGGAACAGCACAAUGCCGCCGGAAGAGGGAUAAAACACGGCAAUCCAACCCUAGAUAGUCCAAUAGAUGCAUUUAUCUCCGGAAACAGAUGGGUCGAUCAUCGGAAGCUGAGGAACAAGCUCCGAAUCGAUGUUUGGAACAAUAGCUUUUGCGGAGAAAAGGAGAACGAAGUAGAGAUGGGGCGAAAGAGGGGAAUGGAACGAGCUUACCUGUGAAGAAAUGCGAUCGCCCAACCGGCUCUGUGAUGAGAAGAGAAUCGAAGGAGCUCGGUUCGAACGGAGGAGGAAGAUGUGAUAGCGAGGGAGAAAGUGCUCGGUCGAUCGGCAGAUGAAGAGGCCGGCUUUGUGAUGAAAAGGGGAUAGAAGAAGCUCCGUCGAUCGAAGGAGGAAGCAGCAGUAGCGAGGGAGAAAGAGCUCGGUCGAUCGGCGGUGGCGAGGGAGAGGAGCGCGCACGAUGGAAGAAGCCCCAACGGGCAAAAAAAAAAUCGUCGAAAAAAAGUCGGACCCCCACGGGUCCGACUUUUUUCCGGGGUAAAUUUACCCUGAAAAUCGACUUUUAGCACGGUAAAUUUUCUCACGUUUGAUGGUGCUGGU